GAGUUUGAUCCUGGCUCAGAACGAACGCUGGCGGCGUGCUUAACACAUGCAAGUCGAACGUGAUUGAGAGCUUGCUCUCAUGAAAGUGGCGCACGGGUGAGUAACACGUGGAUAAUCUGCCUGGCGAUUCGGGAUAACACUUCGAAAGGGGUGCUAAUACCGGAUAAGCCCACAGUCUCCUCGGAGGGUGCGGGAAAAGGGGGCCUCUGUAUAUGCUCCUGUCGCUAGAUGAGUCCGCGGCCCAUUAGCUAGUUGGUAGGGUAAUGGCCUACCAAGGUGACGAUGGGUAGCUGGUCUGAGAGGAUGAUCAGCCACACUGGAACUGAGACACGGUCCAGACUCCUACGGGAGGCAGCAGUGGGGAAUUUUGCGCAAUGGGGGAAACCCUGACGCAGCAGCGCCGCGUGAGUGAUGAAGGCUUUCGGGUCGUAAAGCUCUGUCAGAGGGGAAAGAAGUGUAUUAGGGCUAAUAUCCCUGAUACUUGACGGUACCCCUAAAGGAAGCACCGGCUAACUCCGUGCCAGCAGCCGCGGUAAUAC
RNAcentral lists this ribosomal RNA (539 nucleotides) under uncultured Geobacteraceae bacterium. RNAcentral's name for it is "bacterial SSU rRNA". It matches the Rfam family "Bacterial small subunit ribosomal RNA", at positions 9 to 526 of the family's 1533-position model. The record is from RNAcentral. Lineage: Bacteria; Pseudomonadati; Thermodesulfobacteriota; Desulfuromonadia; Geobacterales; Geobacteraceae.